RNAcentral lists this ribosomal RNA (500 nucleotides) under Aquilaria sinensis. RNAcentral describes it as "eukaryotic LSU rRNA". The stretch from base 5 to 160 matches the Rfam family "5.8S ribosomal RNA". The record is from RNAcentral. Lineage: Eukaryota; Viridiplantae; Streptophyta; Magnoliopsida; Malvales; Thymelaeaceae. RNAcentral also lists the same sequence under 1 other name.
AAAUGACUCCCGGCAACGGAUAUCUCGGCUCUCGCAUCGAUGAAGAACGUAGCGAAAUGCGAUACUUGGUGUGAAUUGCAGAAUCCCGUGAACCAUCGAGUCUUUGAACGCAAGUUGCGCCCCAAGCCUUUGGGCCGAGGGCACGUCUGCCUGGGUGUCACGCAUUGUAGCCCCCCACCCUCGUGGUAAUGUCUGUGAGGGCUGUGUGCGGCUGAUACUGGCCUUCCCGUAUGCACAGCAAUGCGGUUGGCCCAAAUGGAGGAACCCAGGGCGGUGUAUGCCAUGAUGAGCGGUGGUGUGUGCUUAGCCUGCCGUCGUUAGAGCAUCAUGUGCAUCAUGCCCUUGAGGUGUGUUUCGUGGACAACCCCGACGCAAUCAUAGCGCGCAUCGCGACCCCAGGUCAGGCGGGAGCACCCGCUGAGUUUAAGCAUAUCAAUAAGCGGAGGAAAAGAAACUUACCAGGAUUCCCCUAGUAACGGCGAGCGAACCGGGAACAGCCC